GAUGAACGCUGGCGGUAUGCUUAACACAUGCAAGUCGAACGGACUCUUCGGAGUUAGUGGCGGACGGGUGAGUAACGCGUGAGAAUCUGGCUUUGGGUUCGGGACAACCACUGGAAACGGUGGCUAAUACCGGAUGUGCCGAGAGGUAAAAGAGAAAUUGCCUGAAGAUGAGCUCGCGUCUGAUUAGCUAGUUGGUGAGGUAAAGGCUCACCAAGGCAGCGAUCAGUAGCUGGUCUGAGAGGAUGACCAGCCACACUGGGACUGAGACACGGCCCAGACUCCUACGGGAGACAGCAGUGGGGAAUUAUCCGCAAUGGGCGAAAGCCUGACGGAGCAAUACCGCGUGAGGGAAGAAGGCUCUUGGGUUGUAAACCUCUUUUCUUAGGGAAGAACAAAAUGACGGUACCUAAGGAAUCAGCACCGGCUAACUCCGUG
Molecule: ribosomal RNA, 435 nt
Filed under: uncultured bacterium
Lineage: Bacteria
Description: partial 16S ribosomal RNA
Rfam family: Bacterial small subunit ribosomal RNA
Source: RNAcentral